ACCAUUACAUGGAGCUCGAAUUUUCUCUCUUCAGCUCGAUGUCGCCGCUUCCGAAUGUCAAAAGAUCACCGGCGAUAUUGAUUUUCUUCCUUGAAAAAGACGACGAGGGUUUCCCCUGCUGCAUCGGGUAGUGCUGUGACAUAUCAAUCGCGUGCUGGUCCUUGGAAAUCAGAUGCAAGCUUAGAGAGGUUCUGGUUCAAUCGUCGAGCUUCUCUAGGUGCUAAGGUUGACUAUGUGCUUC
RNAcentral lists this long non-coding RNA (241 nucleotides) under Panax ginseng (ginseng). Its description in RNAcentral is "long non-coding RNA (PGIN_LNC001079)". The record is from RNAcentral. Lineage: Eukaryota; Viridiplantae; Streptophyta; Magnoliopsida; Apiales; Araliaceae.